Molecule: ribosomal RNA, 253 nt
Filed under: uncultured bacterium
Lineage: Bacteria
Description: partial 16S ribosomal RNA
Rfam family: Bacterial small subunit ribosomal RNA
Source: RNAcentral
GACGAACCGUGCGAACGUUGUUCGGAAUCACUGGGCUUAAAGGGCGCGUAGGCGGUCUGCCAAGUCCGGGGUGAAAGCCCCCAGCUCAACUGGGGAAGUGCCUUGGAUACUUGUGGACUCGAGCGAGGUAGGGGUGGUGGGAACUUCCGGUGGAGCGGUGAAAUGCGUUGAUAUCGGAAGGAACGCCGGUGGCGAAAGCGCACCACUGGACCUCUUCUGACGCUGAGGAGCGAAAGCCAGGGGAGCAAACGGG